RNAcentral lists this ribosomal RNA (495 nucleotides) under Aeromonas veronii. RNAcentral describes it as "bacterial SSU rRNA". It matches the Rfam family "Bacterial small subunit ribosomal RNA", at positions 7 to 491 of the family's 1533-position model. The record is from RNAcentral. Lineage: Bacteria; Pseudomonadati; Pseudomonadota; Gammaproteobacteria; Aeromonadales; Aeromonadaceae.
GAGAGUUUGAUCCUGGCUCAGAUUGAACGCUGGCGGCAGGCCUAACACAUGCAAGUCGAGCGGCAGCGGGAAAGUAGCUUGCUACUUUUGCCGGCGAGCGGCGGACGGGUGAGUAAUGCCUGGGGAUCUGCCCAGUCGAGGGGGAUAACUACUGGAAACGGUAGCUAAUACCGCAUACGCCCUACGGGGGAAAGCAGGGGACCUUCGGGCCUUGCGCGAUUGGAUGAACCCAGGUGGGAUUAGCUAGUUGGUGAGGUAAUGGCUCACCAAGGCGACGAUCCCUAGCUGGUCUGAGAGGAUGAUCAGCCACACUGGAACUGAGACACGGUCCAGACUCCUACGGGAGGCAGCAGUGGGGAAUAUUGCACAAUGGGGGAAACCCUGAUGCAGCCAUGCCGCGUGUGUGAAGAAGGCCUUCGGGUUGUAAAGCACUUUCAGCGAGGAGGAAAUUUGGUAGCUAAUAACUGCCAGCUGUGACGUUACCGCAGAAGAAGC